Molecule: ribosomal RNA, 490 nt
Filed under: Proteus mirabilis
Lineage: Bacteria; Pseudomonadati; Pseudomonadota; Gammaproteobacteria; Enterobacterales; Morganellaceae
Description: bacterial SSU rRNA
Rfam family: Bacterial small subunit ribosomal RNA
Source: RNAcentral
UGACGAGCGGCGGACGGGUGAGUAAUGUAUGGGGAUCUGCCCGAUAGAGGGGGAUAACUACUGGAAACGGUAGCUAAUACCGCAUAAUGUCUCAAGACCAAAGCAGGGGAUCUUCGGACCUCGCGCCAUCGGAUGAACCCAUAUGGGAUUAGCUAGUAGGUGGGGUAAAGGCUCACCUAGGCGACGAUCUCUAGCUGGUCUGAGAGGAUGAUCAGCCACACUGGGACUGAGACACGGUCCAGACUCCUACGGGAGGCAGCAGUGGGGAAUAUUGCACAAUGGGCGCAAGCCUGAUGCAGCCAUGCCGCGUGUAUGAAGAAGGCCUUAGGGUUGUAAAGUACUUUCAGCGGGGAGGAAGGCGAUAAGGUUAAUACCCUCAUCGAUUGACGUUACUCGCAGAAGAAGCACCGGCUAACUCCGUGCCAGCAGCCGCGGUAAUACGGAGGGUGCAAGCGUUAAUCGGAAUUACUGGGCGUAAAGCGCACGCAGG